This 253-nucleotide ribosomal RNA is filed under the name uncultured bacterium. Its description in RNAcentral is "partial 16S ribosomal RNA". It matches the Rfam family "Bacterial small subunit ribosomal RNA", at positions 524 to 776 of the family's 1533-position model. The record is from RNAcentral.
UACAGAGGUCCCAAGCGUUGUUCGGAUUCACUGGGCGUAAAGGGUGCGUAGGUGGCGAGGUAAGUCGGAUGUGAAAGCUCGGAGCUCAACUCCGAAAUGGCAUUGGAAACUACCUUGCUCGAGGGUUGGAGGGGGGACUGGAAUUCUCGGUGUAGCAGUGAAAUACGUAGAUAUCGAGAGGAACACCAGUGGCGAAGGCGAGUCCCUGGACAACUCCUGACACUGAGGCACGAAAGCUAGGGGAGCAAACAGG